Rhagoletis pomonella (apple maggot) is the source of this 444-nucleotide long non-coding RNA. RefSeq lists it as uncharacterized. Lineage: Eukaryota; Metazoa; Arthropoda; Insecta; Diptera; Tephritidae. The transcript is spliced from 3 exons. The record is from RefSeq and is a predicted model, not a curated record.
CGAAGCGACGCCAAACUAGGAAUUUAAAAAAACAUCGAUGUAUCGAGCAACAUCGAUAGUCAUGGCUUCAAACAUCGAUGUUCGUCGACGCGACAUCGAUAUUUUCGAUGCAUCGAUGCUUUUCGGCAUCCCUAGAAACAACCCUGCGUUCAAAAGUGGUGAAUAAUUGGCUGCUGCUGUUUUUCUGUGAAAAUAGUUAUUUAUUAAAAUAUUUAUAGAGAACAAUAAAACCUAUCAGAGCAACCUAAAAUAAAAAUAAAAAUAGUGCAUCGCUAAAAACUCCCAACUAGUGAAAGCUAACUACCCCUAAUUACAGGUGGAUUACAAAAUUGGUUGAAGCCUUCAACUUGAAUGUUUAUUUACAUCGAUAAAAUCUAAAGAAAGAUAUUCGUCGUAAGUACCCAAACGCUGAUAUUUAAUACAUUUGUGAAAUAUGUACAUAUG